Vicia villosa (hairy vetch) is the source of this 717-nucleotide long non-coding RNA. RefSeq lists it as uncharacterized. NCBI's taxonomy places the organism in Eukaryota, Viridiplantae, Streptophyta, Magnoliopsida, Fabales, Fabaceae. The record is from RefSeq and is a predicted model, not a curated record. The transcript has 2 exons.
CAUUUUUGAAUCAAUUUUUGUGUGGUUUGUUUGAUCUUUACAUGCAUUUAUUGAAUUAUUAUUUAAACUUUUGAUUAAUUACACUUUAGUGUUACUAAUGUUUGGCAUACAACUUGUUUCUAAAUCUCCCCUUUUUGUUUGAGAGGCAUUAAACAGUAUAUAAAUUUCAUUUUUUAUAGGACACUCUUGGGGUAUCAAGAAUUGUAUACUACUAGUUACAAAUAUUCCUUUUCUACAAAGUCAAUCAAUGAUUAUGUGAUAUAGAAUACUUUAUAAUAUUGGCUUUUGGUGUUCUAUUGCGCGUGUUGUUUCUAUCGAUCUUGUUUUAUUUUUGCAAUUGUUGUGUUCCUUCGAGUGUUUUUUUUUUUUAUAAAAUCUGAGCUUAUAUUUUAGGUUUAUCUACUAAUUUCCCUGCUGAAGUGGCGAGGAGCCCGAGACAAGUGCAUUAUGAGUUUGUUAUUACCGAAUAUAUAUCAGCUUGUAACGCAUACUCAAUAGAUCUGUGAGGGCUAGUUCUCUGUAACCUAUCAAAUGAGUCUAAAUCUUAAACAAACAAGUCUUAAGAAACAUCUUAAAUAUCCUCUAUAUCACAAUUGUAUUGCACCUGCUUGGAGCGCAUACUCAAUAGAUUUGUGAGGGCUAGUUCUCUGUGAGGAUAUUUGAUGUAUUCAUUAGUUAUGUUUGAUCUUGAGAAAUGUCUUUCUUUAGUUGUUUGAA